Molecule: non-coding RNA, 28 nt
Filed under: Rattus norvegicus (Norway rat)
Lineage: Eukaryota; Metazoa; Chordata; Mammalia; Rodentia; Muridae
Source: RNAcentral
UGCAGAGUACUCCUGGGCCAAUCAUUGU